GCCAAGUUAGCCAACGAUUAUAAUCUGUACAGCAUACGAAAGCAAUUGUUGUUUUGCUUGACGGUUUCACAUGGGAUUUCAGAGACAUGUUCUAUAUAUAUAAAGUUAAAUUUGAGUUCUGCUGCAACAAAUUAACACAUAAUUUCUUUAUUUCUUCAGUAUCUGAAAUAUCAACUCCCUCUCUCAUCCCUUGAUAUCCUUAGAUUUUGAUUUUGAUUUUCAUUUUUAUUGCUUUCCUUUUCUCAUAUAUAAUCAUGCAAUUCUAAUCAAACCCACAUAUUAUGAUGUAUGCCAUAGAGACUCGUGCCAUUAAGUCAUUUUGACUGAAGGGAAUGGAAUAGUGCCUGUUUAAUCUCAACUCUCGAGCGCUAGUUUUGUCCUUGCUCAGGAAUGGUUGCAGAGUUUGUUCUGAGAUCACCUGUUUAACCUUCCAUGGUUUGAGCUUUAGCAAACCCAGAACAUGAAUGAACGUGAAUAAAGAAGAGAGGACAGGAAGUAGUAAAAUAAAUCUUUCUGUGCAUAUUUUGUAGUCUCAGAAAGCGAUAAUAUGAGCAUGGAUACAAAAAAAUCCGUUGGAAACCUUGCAGCAACUCUUCAUGCUCUACUGGGUCUAAAGGCACAUCUAACUCCCAACUGGGUCAAAUCAGUUUGUGAUAUAAUAAAAACCCUGCCUUCUGAGUUUGAUGCCAAAGUAGAUGAUGAUGAUUCUGGGAAUGCCAUUUCAAAAAUAAAAGAUGAACUUGAUGCCUUAACUAGCCGUAUAAACCAGCUCAGCAUAGAGAGAAGGCAGCUCCUAAAUCAUUAUCUGGACUUGAAAGGGAACAUUCGUGUAUUUUGUCGCGUAAGACCUAUCACGCUGGGGGAGAAUUUUGGUCGGUUAAGACCUGCAGUGGCUGUGGAUUCAAAUAAUGUUCUUUUAAAACUUGCUGCUAAUAAGAGUAAGAAUUACAGUUUUGAUAGAGUUUUCCACCCAGGUUCAUCACAAGAUGAAGUUUUCUCAGAAGUUGAACCAGUCAUCAAAUCUGUUCUUGAUGGUUACAAUGCUUGCAUUUUUGCUUACGGGCAGACUGGUACAGGAAAAACUUUCACAAUGGAAGGUAAACCAAAUGCUCCUGGGGUAGUUCCUCGCACAUUCCAGGCGCUAUUCAAGCAAGCAGUUGACAGUAACCAUUCAUUUCUUAUCAGAUUCAGUAUGCUUGAGAUUUACAUGGGAAACCUCAAGGACUUGCUGGUCCCCAAGCCAAUAAAAGCUACAGAUCCUAUGUCUCCUUGGUAAGUAAGUUGGUUGUUUGGAUGUAGACUCAUAUACGUCCAUGAGGCUUGGCUACAUCGUUAUAUUCUUGUACGAUCAACAUAAAUUGUUCUGAAACCAAAGUUCAUGGCUAUCCAGCUACACUGUUUUAUCAACAAAGAGAGAGAAGCAGCUAGUUGAAAGUUUUCACACUGAAAGAGGAGCUGAAAUAGUGUGCUACGUGAUCAUAAGAUUCCUGUUUGAGAUUGCAGAGAAGGUUGCUUUAGCAAAACUGCAAUCGCAGCCACAAAUGCAAUUUUGAUCAUGAGAUUCCUGUUUGAGAAUGCAGAGAAGGCUCGUAGAAAGCUUAGACCUAAACACAAUUCAAUAGAGAAACAAGCUCAUUGCAGCUGACUUUGACUGGCUUAGAAUUGAUGUUUAGUUGAAUUAAACAUGUAGAACAGUACUUUUUUCUAGAGCCAACACAUAACCAUCAUCUUAUCAUAUGCCUCUAGAUGAGACAUUUACCACCAAACUCAUACCAAAAAGUUCCAUAGUUUUCAAGUUCCUGGGUUCUAAGAUAUUAAAUUACCAUUAUGAACAGAGACAGUUGAUUGGCAAUCAAUAACCUUUUCAUUGCUUUUUAAUAUACAUGCAUUACAACAAUCCUCUAUAAGAUAAUCUAGUAUCUCUAUGAACAGCCUUUCAAUUCAAACAGACCCAGAGGGAGGAAUUGAAAUUGACAACCUUGUAUCAAUUCAAGUAAAUGACUUCCACCAAGCUUUGAGGCUGUACAGAUUAGGAUGCCGUUUCAGAUCAACUGCCUCAACAAACUCCAACAUAUCUUCAAGCCGAUCUCAUUGCAUGAUCCGCAUAGCAAUAACUUGCUUUGAUGCUCCUGAGAGGCGCCGGGAAACAAACAAAAUUUGGUUAGUGGACCUUGGAGGAAGUGAGCGUGUGUUGAAGACAAAGGCAUGGGGCAAAAGACUUGACGAAGGAAAAGCUAUUAAUUUGUCACUCUCUGCUCUUGGAGAUGUAAUUAAUGCCCUCCAAUUGAAAAAGCGUCAUAUACCUUACAGGAAUAGCAAGCUGACACAAGUUCUUAAAGAUUCUCUAGGUGAUGAUUCAAAAACACUAAUGCUAGUCCAUGUCAGUCCCAAAGAAGAAGAUUUAUGUGAGACCAUAUGUUCCUUAAAUUUCGCAUCAAGGGCGAAAAACAUUCACCUAGGAAAUGAGGAUACAAUAGUAAGUAAGCACAGUACUGUAUUUAAGAUUGUGUUGAUUAGUUUGCAUAUUUUGUAUCACAAAUAUUAAGCCCGAGAAAUUAAAGAUCGAUUGUUAAUUAGAUCCAGCUAUUUGUUAUUUGAGAAAGGCAUAAAUCUUUUUAACAAAGUACAUUUUUAUGUUGAUGUGCUACUACAUAUAUCAAGUAAAACAUAUUAUGGGUUAAAGAUGAAAAUGAAUGACAAAUUGCUUUGUUAUAAAAAUGAUGUUUUAGUUGCAAAAGAAGACAGAUUAGCCAUUAUGAAUAAGAUAAUAACCAAAAAGGUGAACUUUUGAAAUCAGGAAGUAAGAGAGCAGAAGGAAGUAGCAAUGGCAAAUCUGCAGAGAAAGAUGAUAGAGACUGAACAUGAGCGGUUGAACGUUAGACAAGAAAUUGAGAAAUUAAAAAAGAGAUUAGAAAAUCUCAGAGGAAAAAGUUUAUAUUCUGAGGAGCAACUUGAGGAAUAUAAUUUUAUUGAAGAACCACUUACAAAGAACAAUGUUGGAGACCAAAUAGUUGAUCCCUUGUCAAAGGUACCGGGAUUUAUGAGGCCAACCGUUUGCAGCCAAAGAAAAUCUGGGACAAAUUAUCAAGCUUCAGAAUGGAAAGUCCCAGUCCCUGGAAGAAGGAAAAGGCCAUCAUCUCAUUGUGCUGAGUCUGUGACUUUUCCCGUGAAGGAUCAUUCAGAUUACAAAUCAGAACUCAGUGUUUCCAAAUCUAGCUGUUUGGUGGGAUUAGACAUGAAAAACAGUGCUGAUAAUGCAACAGAAUACAGCCAAGACACUCUUGAAACUGAUGUUGAAAUGACUGAUAUCCGACGGCAAGAAAAAGCACCUUGUUCAGCUAGUCAAAUGAAUGACAUUGGUCACAUUCAGAAAAUUACAGAUAGACAGAAAAGCAUGACUAAUGAUUACAUCAAAUUUUCUAAGGUUGACAAUUGGCUUGACCUACAAAAGAAUGAAACCAAUAUGAGUGGUUAUACUCAUAGGACUAAGCGGGUUUUAGCUAUUCCUAACUCCAAGAAGAAACAUCAGCAUAACGAGCAGAGCAAAGACAAUGUGGCUUUUGAUGAAAAAAUACAUAGUUUUCAUGAUUAUAGAAUGCCAAACAUCCACAGUGAAAAAGAUAAAAUGGUUACUGUCAGGGGCGUUGGAAUGAUUACAUCAGAAGUGGCAGUUGACAAACCACUAACAAAUUUCCAGGAUUUAUUCAAUGAGGACUCAAGAUCUCAUUUCAGUUCAAAAUCUCAGACAACUGAAGGAAAAGGAAUGAUACAAACACAAGAUUUUGUAGAUGACUCAUCAACAGAAGAUGACAAAUGGAGCACUUUUUCUCCAGAUGACGUGUAUUAUCAUAGACUAGGUGACUAUAAGGAUCAUAGUGGAGCCAAUGCACUGUCUAUCAAGCAGACAGUAGAAGGCGAAAAUGAAAUUUCAGACACUUUCCAGUUAAAGAACCAUGGAAGAUCUGAUUUAGGUGGCACCAACAUUUACUCAAAAGGGGAUUCCAGUGACUCAACGUCCAUGUUAGAACUUGAAUCAUGCUGUCCACAAUUAUCCACUGAAUCAGUUAUAGAAGACGGUGAAAGGCAAGACUCAGAUUUCUCUAUUCAACCCUCAACAAAAGAAAGAAGAUGUGACAUACUCCAACUGAGAUCUCAAAGAGCAUUAUUUGAGGACUAUUCAAACCAGAACGAUUUAACAAAGCAAUUUGAUAAAUUUCAAGGAGAAACACAGAAGACAGGUAAAAACUUUUGGGUCAACUAGACAUUUGCCUAUUUUUUGACCAAGUUCAUUGUUUCUGAAGUAAUGUUCCCAUAAGCUCUUAGCCACCUCCCUCCCCCAAAAAGGUAAAGAGGACAAAAGAAAGAAAAUUCACUUUAAGCUAACUUGCACAAAUAUUAGAAAACUGCAGGAAAAAAACUUACAUCUGUGGUUAUCCAACUUUAGCAAGGAUGUAGUUCAUCUUACAAAAUUAUUGAACUGUUUUUGACCAGGAAUAUGCCGUAUUCUGAAACAGAAAAUCGAGAUUUUAUGUAUCGGUGCUCUUCUAGGAUCGGGGUUUUGUAAUCUGGGAUAUGAGCAUGAGUUCUUCUAUGGGUUAAUGCUUUGAAGCAACACCAGUGGAUGAAAGCGUUAGCAAUUUCUUGAAUGGUGGAGACAGGAGUGGAGGUGAGAUGCAAAUGGAACAUCACAAAAGCUCAUGUUGUAGCCUUAUGUCGUAUUUGCUAGAUGCAAGCUUAAUCCUGUUUAAACAAUGCUAUGUGCAUGCAUACUUGUGCAAUAAAGCAGGUAUAAACGGUUUUUAUGGCUUUAUCUAAAUGUUGUAUAUACUGAAAUUAUAUACCUACUUCCAUAGCAGGAAAGUUCUUAUUCAAGUUCUGGCCCAGCUUCCAUGCCUAGAAUAUCCAUCCAAAGAAACAAGAGGACGCAAAAUUAAAGAUGUUCAUCAGAUAGACUAGACAACUAUUGGUCUAUGUACAUAAAUUUGUAUGUUUAAAUGCAAAUAUGGAACAGUUCACCUAGUUUUACCAUCCCUGUAGGGAUAUACAAAAGCCGUCUUGCAUGCAAAAACCUUACGUUGUUCCUGUCUAUUUAUAAAUAUUUUUAAAUUAUAUCAUGGAAAUUUUGUAAUAUUCUCAUAAAUUAGUUAUUUUUGAAAGAAAGAGGUGCACACCAAUCCUCACUUUCAAAAUUCUCUACAACACUUGAUGAUUCAACAUUUUGACUAAGAGGAUGUUUUCAAUCAGUCAUUGUUCAGAAUCUUCAGUGUCUAACAAAUUCUUCAAGGCUUCAGAUUUCACUUACCUGCUACAAAUGAGAACUUCUCACUAUCCGAUAUUAUCAAAACUUUAGAUAUGUAUGGGUAAUCCGAAUAAAAUAUCACUUUUUCAUAUUGGCUAACCAAAAUUAAUUGAUAAUUUUUUGCUAUCCCUUAUUAACUAACACUUUGUUUGGUUAUCUCUCUGUGCACAGGAAAAGAGACGAAAUAAAAUGAAGGAAAAGAAGAGAAGAGAAAGGAAGUAAUAUUAAUUUUCCCUCAUGUUGAUUUAUAUUGAAGUUGAAUUUCCCUUGUUCAGUUAUCUGCAAGCAAAAGAAGAAAAUGUUCUUCUCUUCUUCAUUUCCCUUGGUUUCUCUCCAAGUUGGAGGAAAAUUUAUGGCUUUUAAAGGAAUUUGGGAAAAAAUUUACUUUCCUUUCUCCUUUGUUCUCUGUCCCUUUUAGCAUCCAAAAUUCCAAACAAAAAGAAAUGACUAAAACUUCAUUUCUCCUCUUCCUUUAAACAAACAAAGCAUAACAGAAUAAAGUAAUUUGAAUUGUUAUGCACAUGUCUUUUAAUUAUUAAAAAAUAUCUAAUCAAUAAAUAUAAAAGACCAAUAAGGAAUUAUGUAUUUCAGAAUUUGCUUAUUUUACAAGAGAAAAUAUGACUGGUCUCAUUAUUUUGGAUAACAGCAAUUCGUAAGUUUAAAGUACACAAAAGUUAUUUUUCAAAAUAUGAAAAAGAAGUUUCUGGACAUUAAUUCACCUUCUACAGGACAAAUAUCACCAUGAAAAACCAAAAAGACAAACCACUUCCCUUCUUACUUCUUGAAAGAUUCUAAAUAAAACUAUCAGCUUCUCACUACAAUAGAAGGUCCCAGUGAUCUAUGUUCCAGGUGGUUUUAUGGUUUACUCAAUCGUCUUUAUUUUAGUAUCUUUUUUUUCAGAAUUAUGGUCAUAUCUAUCUGUAGUUUGUCUUUUGUUUCUUCCUAUUUAAGAUUAGUUUAUUUGUAUACAGUGGUGUAUUGAUUGAUUAUAUUAUAAUUGAAUAACAUUAAAUUGUUAUUUUUUUGAAAUCUAAAGAUUAUGCAUUAGCUAUUUUCUAAAUUUAUAAUAUGAAUUAAUUGGCUUUUAAUUCCUAUAUUAUUUCAAAGCAUGCUUAAGUCAAAAACAGCCAUGUGAUACAUAUCCUCUC
Molecule: unclassified non-coding RNA, 6447 nt
Filed under: Hevea brasiliensis (rubber tree)
Lineage: Eukaryota; Viridiplantae; Streptophyta; Magnoliopsida; Malpighiales; Euphorbiaceae
Source: RNAcentral